CCUGAUGGGUUAGGACAGGACACAUUAUUUGAAAACCCAUUACAGAACCGGUGGGGAGGAGAUUUGAGAGAUGAGCUGUUCCUUUGAAUGCUUUCCUCGCCACUUUUUGGACUUUCGACUUUGGUUUUCUUGGGGCUUCUGGUAAUGACGAUAUCAGCAAGUGCUGCGUUUCCGCCAUUACCUUUUAAAAAAAAAAAAAACUAAUUUACCCUGCAAAGUUUGAAUGUUUAGAGAAUGUCUCUUUGGGACAAAGGUUUUAUGGGUUCUUUUGUUUUAUGUUUUGUUCCGUUGAGCUGUUGUGUUCAGGUUUCGAGGUUGAUAUUCUGUUCUUCCAUUUUUAUGUUUCUGUUGCAGGUCAGGGUUUACCAACAUAAACGUUAGAACGAAAUAGAAUUGGAGUUAAUGAAACAAGAAAGGGGAGUUUUC
This 426-nucleotide long non-coding RNA is filed under the name Brassica rapa (field mustard). Its description in RNAcentral is "long non-coding RNA (BRAP_LNC002270)". Lineage: Eukaryota; Viridiplantae; Streptophyta; Magnoliopsida; Brassicales; Brassicaceae. The record is from RNAcentral.